Long non-coding RNA from Onychostoma macrolepis, 667 nucleotides. RefSeq lists it as uncharacterized. NCBI's taxonomy places the organism in Eukaryota, Metazoa, Chordata, Actinopteri, Cypriniformes, Cyprinidae. The transcript is spliced from 2 exons. The record is from RefSeq and is a predicted model, not a curated record.
AAAACAGCUGUAAUGGAUUUAUUUUUUAAAUAAAAAAAUCUUGAUAGAGAUCGAUACGCGUUUAGAAACUAUUGAGAACCGAAGCGGUGGAUAAUGCAUUAUAUACGACCUACAUUGUGACGGGCAGUCAGCAAAUUAAGGCCAUGAUCAUCAAAUUCCCAGCGGCAGUUGACAUGAGAUGAGUGGAGACUGGACAAGGAGAAACUGAGGCAUUCAUUAGUGUACUUGAAUGUCUCAGCUUGGUCUAUAACAAACACUAUGAAAACUCCACAAAUCUGCUUGUAAUUGCCUAAUGUAGAUAGGACAUAUGAGGAAAUCAUUUAUUUAGAAAGAUGUGUUUACUCUUUUUAAAAAUGUAACAAAAAUUGCAUUGACGUUGAUUGACAUUUUACACACAAAUGCUUUCAGUUUAAAUCAUAAGUAAAGGAAAAAACAGAUUCCAGAGACUUUAAAAUAUGUUAGUGAGGAAUUUCACUCAAAUGUAGAACAGAAUAUUUGUAGAUCCAAAGUAAAUGCUUAUGCGUUUUCUCUGUGUUAAUGUUAUUUGUGGUCAUGUAUAGAAAUAUUUUUUGAUUUCUUUAUUUUGAGUUUACAUUUGGUCACUGAUGUAGUAGUGCUUUCUAUUGUGAUGUUAAAGGAAAAUAAAAUUAAUUUUAUAAAUCCUGCA